This 463-nucleotide ribosomal RNA is filed under the name uncultured Candidatus Neoehrlichia sp. RNAcentral describes it as "bacterial SSU rRNA". It matches the Rfam family "Bacterial small subunit ribosomal RNA", at positions 32 to 523 of the family's 1533-position model. Lineage: Bacteria; Pseudomonadati; Pseudomonadota; Alphaproteobacteria; Rickettsiales; Anaplasmataceae. The record is from RNAcentral.
AACGCUAGCGGCAAGCUUAACACAUGCAAGUCGAACGAAUUGUAGCUGUAGUUUACUAUGGGUACAGUUAGUGGCAGACGGGUGAGUAAUGCAUAGGAAUCUGCCUAGUAGUAUGGAAUAGCUGUUAGAAAUGACAGGUAAUACCGUAUAAUCCCUGCGGGGGAAAGAUUUAUCGCUAUUAGAUGAGCCUAUGUUAGAUUAGCUAGUUGGUAAGGUAAUGGCUUACCAAGGCUAUGAUCUAUAGCUGGUCUGAGAGGACGAUCAGCCACACUGGAACUGAGAUACGGUCCAGACUCCUACGGGAGGCAGCAGUGGGGAAUAUUGGACAAUGGGCGCAAGCCUGAUCCAGCUAUGCCGCAUGAGUGAAGAAGGCCUUAGGGUUGUAAAACUCUUUCAGCAGGGAAGAUAAUGACGGUACCUGCAGAAGAAGUCCCGGCAAACUCCGUGCCAGCAGCCGCGGUAA